RNAcentral lists this ribosomal RNA (253 nucleotides) under uncultured bacterium. RNAcentral's name for it is "partial 16S ribosomal RNA". It matches the Rfam family "Bacterial small subunit ribosomal RNA", at positions 524 to 776 of the family's 1533-position model. The record is from RNAcentral.
UACAGAGGUCCCAAGCGUUGUUCGGAAUUACUGGGCGUAAAGGGUUCGUAGGUGGCCCGCUAAGUCAGACGUGAAAUCCUCGGGCUCAACCCGGGAACUGCGUCCGAGACUGGCAGGCUCGAAUCCGGGAGAGGGAUGUGGAAUUCCAGGUGUAGCGGUGAAAUGCGUAGAUAUCUGGAGGAACACCGGUGGCGAAGGCGGCAUCCUGGACCGUUAUUGACGCUGAGGCGCGAAAGCCAGGGGAGCAAACGGG